AAGGUCCACUUAAUGCAUGAUCUUUAAGAUAAACGGCUGUGGUACCAAGUAUGUGUGAUGGUAAUGGCUGCCAAGGUCUAUGCUGUUAUUCACUCGUGUACCUUAUUGUCAACAUUGGCUGUGUCACAAUGUCAAUUGUGUCAAUCACUGAAAGAGAAUCAGCAUCCUGGUGAUCUCUUCCAUGAGGAAAAUGACUACACAGUACAUAAUAGGGUGAAGAAAAUGACAACAAAUUCUAUUAAAGGGGUCAUCAAGUUAAGUUUACAUAGAAUCUUGAGAAUCAUCAUGUUGAGUGCAGUAGUUUUAAUUAUUUUUUGAUUAUUUCUAAUUUAAAUUUUGAAAUAGGCAAAAUAAAACCAUCUUGUUAAUUGUUAUCUAUAAGGAAAAGGCAAACACCACCAACAUGGUCAACAAGUUUGUUAACCCAUUGAAUGUUACCGGGCAGCAGUAACCCUUGAAUCCCUCUCCUUAGUUCCUUGAAAUGGGCCCACUCUUAUUUUGAGUUAACCUGUGCCGCUAUUCCAUGGACUGAAUCCAUUGGUGGAAACUGACGACAAAUCAGUGGCAACUGACUAACGGGCUGUCAUUCAGCAAUACUUUUCACAUGCGUGCCAUCCUUCCGUCGCCCAAAGGCACGGGGGAGUUGUGCCUGCUCCAGCUUUACGAGGCCAGGAUAAUUUGACUACCCAGCAACCGACAGUCUGGUAGGCCAACUCACCCAUCACUGACUCCUACUACCCCUGCUCUCAAAUGACCAAAGGACGACGAUGUUGUUCUAAACUACAGAUUUCUAAAUUUGCAUGACAGACAUUCUGAGAAGUCAUGUCCUUUGAAGAGAAAGGACAAAAAGUCAAAAACUAUACAGUCAACAAGGUCUCUUGUUUGGUAACCCGUGGGCUGCCACCAUAUCUCCCUUUUUACUUCCUUCUCGAUUUGAGGGUAACUCCUUUGCUACUUAUCGUGGACUUCAUCCAUUGGUGAAAACUGACAGAAGAAUGUUGUAAUUCAAGACUGAUCAUUUGUAUGCGUUUUGUCGAUAUGUCGUCUCUUGCUACCUGUACCG
Daphnia pulicaria is the source of this 1063-nucleotide long non-coding RNA. RefSeq lists it as uncharacterized. Lineage: Eukaryota; Metazoa; Arthropoda; Branchiopoda; Diplostraca; Daphniidae. The transcript has 5 exons. The record is from RefSeq and is a predicted model, not a curated record.